AUCCCAUGAUGAGGACAAGCGGCGACGUACUCCUGUAGACGCUCCCAAGCUUUUGGUAUGGAUUCAUCCUUUAUCUGCUGGAAGUUAGAAAUCCUCCCACAAAGGGA
Molecule: small nucleolar RNA, 107 nt
Filed under: Leersia perrieri
Lineage: Eukaryota; Viridiplantae; Streptophyta; Magnoliopsida; Poales; Poaceae
Description: Plant small nucleolar RNA R71
Rfam family: Plant small nucleolar RNA R71
About the family: R71 is a member of the C/D box family of snoRNAs containing the C (UGAUGA) and D (CUGA) box motifs. Multiple nearly identical copies of this snoRNA have been identified in Arabidopsis, and it is thought to function as a 2'-O-ribose methylation guide for 18S ribosomal RNA.
Source: Rfam by way of RNAcentral